Molecule: transfer RNA, 75 nt
Filed under: Candidatus Yanofskybacteria bacterium RIFCSPHIGHO2_01_FULL_39_8b
Lineage: Bacteria; Candidatus Yanofskyibacteriota
Description: tRNA-Ile
Rfam family: tRNA
About the family: Transfer RNA (tRNA) molecules are approximately 80 nucleotides in length. Their secondary structure includes four short double-helical elements and three loops (D, anti-codon, and T loops). Further hydrogen bonds mediate the characteristic L-shaped molecular structure. tRNAs have two regions of fundamental functional importance: the anti-codon, which is responsible for specific mRNA codon recognition, and the 3' end, to which the tRNAs corresponding amino acid is attached (by aminoacyl-tRNA synthetases). tRNAs cope with the degeneracy of the genetic code in two manners: having more than one tRNA (with a specific anti-codon) for a particular amino acid; and 'wobble' base-pairing, i.e. permitting non-standard base-pairing at the 3rd anti-codon position.
Source: RNAcentral
GCGCGCGUAGUUAAGUGGUAUAACGCCAAACUGAUAAUUUGGAGGCCCCAGGUUCGAUCCCUGGCGCGCGCACCC